Molecule: ribosomal RNA, 497 nt
Filed under: uncultured bacterium
Lineage: Bacteria
Description: partial 16S ribosomal RNA
Rfam family: Bacterial small subunit ribosomal RNA
Source: RNAcentral
GAUGAACGCUGGCGGCGUGCCUAAUACAUGCAAGUCGAGCGAACAGACGAGGAGCUUGCUCCUCUGACGUUAGCGGCGGACGGGUGAGUAACACGUGGAUAACCUACCUAUAAGACUGGGAUAACUUCGGGAAACCGGAGCUAAUACCGGAUAAUAUAUUGAACCGCAUGGUUCAAUAGUGAAAGACGGUUUUGCUGUCACUUAUAGAUGGAUCCGCGCCGCAUUAGCUAGUUGGUAAGGUAACGGCUUACCAAGGCAACGAUGCGUAGCCGACCUGAGAGGGUGAUCCGCCACACUGGGACUGAGACACGAUCCAGACUCCUACGGGAGGCAGCAGUAGGGAAUCUUCCGCAAUGGGCGAAAGCCUGACGGAGCAACGCAGCGUGAGUGAUGCAGGUCUUCGGAUCGUAAAACUCUGUUAUUAGGGAAGAACAAAUGUGUAAGUAACUAUGCACGUCUUGACGGUACCUAAUCAGAAAGCCACGGCUAACUACGUG